GAUGAACGCUGGCGGCGUGCCUAAUACAUGCAAGUCGAGCGAACGGACGAGAAGCUUGCUUCUCUGAUGUUAGCGGCGGACGGGUGAGUAACACGUGGAUAACCUACCUAUAAGACUGGGAUAACUUCGGGAAACCGGAGCUAAUACCGGAUAAUAUUUUGAACCGCAUGGUUCAAAAGUGAAAGACGGUCUUGCUGUCACUUAUAGAUGGAUCCGCGCUGCAUUAGCUAGUUGGUAAGGUAACGGCUUACCAAGGCAACGAUGCAUAGCCGACCUGAGAGGGUGAUCGGCCACACUGGAACUGAGACACGGUCCAGACUCCUACGGGAGGCAGCAGUAGGGAAUCUUCCGCAAUGGGCGAAAGCCUGACGGAGCAACGCCGCGUGAGUGAUGAAGGUCUUCGGAUCGUAAAACUCUGUUAUUAGGGAAGAACAUAUGUGUAAGUAACUGUGCACAUCUUGACGGUACCUAAUCAGAAAGCCACGGCUAACUACGUGCCAGCAGCCGCGGUAAUACGUAGGUGGCAAGCGUUAUCCGGAAUUAUUGGGCGUAAAGCGCGCGUAGGCGGUUUUUUAAGUCUGAUGUGAAAGCCCACGGCUCAACCGUGGAGGGUCAUUGGAAACUGGAAAACUUGAGUGCAGAAGAGGAAAGUGGAAUUCCAUGUGUAGCGGUGAAAUGCGCAGAGAUAUGGAGGAACACCAGUGGCGAAGGCGACUUUCUGGUCUGUAACUGACGCUGAUGUGCGAAAGCGUGGGGAUCAAACAGGAUUAGAUACCCUGGUAGUCCACGCCGUAAACGAUGAGUGCUAAGUGUUAGGGGGUUUCCGCCCCUUAGUGCUGCAGCUAACGCAUUAAGCACUCCGCCUGGGGAGUACGACCGCAAGGUUGAAACUCAAAGGAAUUGACGGGGACCCGCACAAGCGGUGGAGCAUGUGGUUUAAUUCGAAGCAACGCGAAGAACCUUACCAAAUCUUGACAUCCUUUGACAACUCUAGAGAUAGAGCCUUCCCCUUCGGGGGACAAAGUGACAGGUGGUGCAUGGUUGUCGUCAGCUCGUGUCGUGAGAUGUUGGGUUAAGUCCCGCAACGAGCGCAACCCUUAAGCUUAGUUGCCAUCAUUAAGUUGGGCACUCUAAGUUGACUGCCGGUGACAAACCGGAGGAAGGUGGGGAUGACGUCAAAUCAUCAUGCCCCUUAUGAUUUGGGCUACACACGUGCUACAAUGGACAAUACAAAGGGCAGCGAAACCGCGAGGUCAAGCAAAUCCCAUAAAGUUGUUCUCAGUUCAGAUUGUAGUCUGCAACUCGACUACAUGAAGCUGGAAUCGCUAGUAAUCGUAGAUCAGCAUGCUACGGUGAAUACGUUCCCGGGUCU
RNAcentral lists this ribosomal RNA (1372 nucleotides) under uncultured bacterium. RNAcentral's name for it is "bacterial SSU rRNA". It matches the Rfam family "Bacterial small subunit ribosomal RNA", at positions 28 to 1381 of the family's 1533-position model. The record is from RNAcentral.